GGCGCUGUGGCUUAGUUGGUUGAAGUACUUGUCUAGUAAACAGGAGGUCCUGGGUUUGAAUCCCAGCAGUGCCU
This is a non-coding RNA of Amphiprion ocellaris (clown anemonefish), 74 nucleotides long. NCBI's taxonomy places the organism in Eukaryota, Metazoa, Chordata, Actinopteri, Pomacentridae. The record is from the annotation of a RefSeq genome assembly.